Molecule: ribosomal RNA, 468 nt
Filed under: uncultured bacterium
Lineage: Bacteria
Description: partial 16S ribosomal RNA
Rfam family: Bacterial small subunit ribosomal RNA
Source: RNAcentral
GAUGAACGCUGGCGGCGUGCUUAACACAUGCAAGUCGAACGGAAAGGCCAGUGCUUGCACUGGUACUCGAGUGGCGAACGGGUGAGUAACACGUGGGUGAUCUGCCCUGCACUUCGGGAUAAGCCUGGGAAACUGGGUCUAAUACCGGAUAGGACAAUGGUUUGGAUGCCGUUGUGGAAAGUUUUUUCGGUGUGGGAUGAGCUCGCGGCCUAUCAGCUUGUUGGUGGGGUAAUGGCCUACCAAGGCGUCGACGGGUAGCCGGCCUGAGAGGGUGUACGGCCACAUUGGGACUGAGAUACGGCCCAGACUCCGACGGGAGGCAGCAGUGGGGAAUAUUGCACAAUGGGCGCAAGCCUGAUGCAGCGACGCCGCGUGGGGGAUGACGGCCUUCGGGUUGUAAACUCCUGUCGCUAGGGACGAAGCGUAUUUGUGACGGUACCUGGAGAAGAAGCACCGGCUAACUACGUG